Molecule: ribosomal RNA, 257 nt
Filed under: uncultured bacterium
Lineage: Bacteria
Description: partial 16S ribosomal RNA
Rfam family: Bacterial small subunit ribosomal RNA
Source: RNAcentral
UACAGAGACCUCAAGCGUUAUCCGGAAUCAUUGGGCGUACAGCGUGCCGAUAGGUUGUUUAUUUAGUCUUGGGUAAAAGCCAGAAGCUUAACUUCUGAGUUUGCUUUAGAUACUGAUAGACUAGAGGGGCAAAGAGGUGCUUGGAACGAAUGGUGUAGUAGUGAAAGGCGUUGAUAUCAUUCGGAACACCGAAAGCGAAGGCAGAGCACUGGGUGCCACCUGACACUGCUAGGACGAAAGCGUGGGGAGCGAACGGG